AUCCUUUUGUACUUCAUAAGCAUGAUGAUUAGGUCUUCACGCUCUUGUGUGAGAUGUGCCUCCCUCAAAUCUUGAUAUGACAUUGGAACAUUACCUGUCUGAUG
Molecule: small nucleolar RNA, 104 nt
Organism: Pteropus vampyrus (large flying fox)
Lineage: Eukaryota; Metazoa; Chordata; Mammalia; Chiroptera; Pteropodidae
Source: Ensembl